Molecule: unclassified non-coding RNA, 153 nt
Filed under: soil metagenome
Description: partial internal transcribed spacer 1
Source: RNAcentral
CCGAGUUUACAACUCCCAAACCCCUGUGAACAUACCUAUCUGUUGCUUCGGCGGAUCCGCCCGCGCCCUCGGUAACCGGAUCAGGCGCCCGCCAGAGGACCCCUAACUCUUGUAUUUCUUAUAGUAACUUCUGAGUAAACAGCAAAUAAAUUA